CUAUUUAAAAGCUUCACAUUUGUAUUUUUCUGGGAUUGACUAUUUGUUAAGGAUAAAGUGAUUUAUAUCUACAAACAAAUUGGUUACGUUUGCAUUAUGCGUUUAGAAGUUAUGGGCGACGAAAGUCAGUUAUUGUGAACAUGUACUCAUCAUUGCUCCCCACUGUAUAUAUAUAUAUAUUCUUGAUCAGCAUCAAUAGCCGAGUCGAU
Molecule: long non-coding RNA, 209 nt
Organism: Drosophila guanche
Lineage: Eukaryota; Metazoa; Arthropoda; Insecta; Diptera; Drosophilidae
Exons: 3
Source: RefSeq, a predicted model, not a curated record